UAUGCACUAUUUUCUUCAGUACGAAAGGACCAAGAAAAUAGGACCUACAUCUAUAACAAGUCCUCUCAUUUUCGAAACAAUAUCAAACCUACAGUAUCCCACCCCUCCUAAAACAGGAC
Molecule: ribosomal RNA, 119 nt
Filed under: Varanus glebopalma
Lineage: Eukaryota; Metazoa; Chordata; Lepidosauria; Squamata; Varanidae
Description: partial 16S ribosomal RNA
Source: RNAcentral